AUUGAACGCUGGCGGCAGGCCUAACACAUGCAAGUCGAGCGGAUGAAGGGAGCUUGCUCCUGGAUUCAGCGGCGGACGGGUGAGUAAUGCCUAGGAAUCUGCCUGGUAGUGGGGGAUAACGUCCGGACACGGGCGCUAAUACCGCAUACGUCCUGAGGGAGAAAGUGGGGGUUCUUCGGACCUCACGCUAUCAGAUGAGCCUAGGUCGGAUUAGCCAGUUGGUGGGGUAACGGCCUACCAAGGCGACGUUCCGUAACUGGUCUGAGAGGAUGAUCAGUCACACUGGAACUGAGACGCGGUCCAGACUACUACGGGAGGCAGCAGUGGGGAAUAGUGGGCAAAGGGCGAAAGCCUUACCCAGCCAUGCCGCGGGGGUUAAGAAGGUCUUCGGAUUGUAAAGCACGAUAAGUUGGGAAGAAAGGCAGUAAGUUAAUACCUUGCUGUAUUGACGUUACCAACAGAAUAAGCACCAGCUAACUACGUG
RNAcentral lists this ribosomal RNA (484 nucleotides) under uncultured bacterium. RNAcentral describes it as "partial 16S ribosomal RNA". It matches the Rfam family "Bacterial small subunit ribosomal RNA", at positions 30 to 507 of the family's 1533-position model. The record is from RNAcentral.